This 410-nucleotide ribosomal RNA is filed under the name uncultured microorganism. RNAcentral's name for it is "bacterial SSU rRNA". It matches the Rfam family "Bacterial small subunit ribosomal RNA", at positions 509 to 917 of the family's 1533-position model. The record is from RNAcentral.
CAGCCGCCGCGGUAAUACGUAGGGUGCGAGCGUUAAUCGGAUUUACUGGGCGUAAAGCGUGCGCAGGCGGCCCGUUAAGACAGGUGUGAAAUCCCUGGGCUCAACCUAGGAAUUGCGCUUGUGACUGGCGGGCUCGAGUAUGGUAGAGGGGGGUGGAAUUCCUGGUGUAGCAGUGAAAUGCGUAGAGAUCAGGAGGAACACCGAUGGCGAAGGCAGCCCCCUGGGCCUGUACUGACGCUCAUGCACGAAAGCGUGGGGAGCAAACAGGAUUAGAUACCCUGGUAGUCCACGCCCUAAACGAUGGGUACUAGCCGUUUGGUGCGCGAGAGCGCUGAGUGGCGAAGCUAACGCGUGAAGUACCCCGCCUGGGGAGUACGGCCGCAAGGUUGAAACUUAAAGGAAUUGGCGGG